GAAAAAGUGCAAAAGACAUCACCCAUUUAACAGCGGUCGGUGAUGCCACCGAUGUUAAAAAGGUUUUUAACAUCGUCAAGUUUUUAACCGAUGUUAAAACCAUUUCUAGCAUCGGUUUAUAAAAGAACCGCUGUCUAAUCUCCAUUUUUAAAAAAAUUUAAAAAAAGCGCCCAGUACUUGUAAUUAUUUUGUCUAUCUUAUUACACACCCCGCUUCUUUUAUUACACAAAAUACACCUCCCCGCCCUUAACCAAAUAUUUGCUCCCCGUUUUCCCCCCUUUCUCCUCUCGACUCUGCACUGCUCUCUCUCUCGACUCUCUCUCUCUCGCAUCUCCUCCAGCUCUCUCCCUCUCAUAUCCAUCUCUGAGCAUCUCUCUCUCACCUCCAUCUCUCACCAGGCUUGAACUCAUCUCUCAGCAGCUGUGACCAAAACCCUAGUUUUGAAUUAGCUACAAUGGAGCUUGCUUUGGGUUCCUAACUUCUUGAUCUGGAAGUAGCUUUCGAAUUAGCUUUCGGGUUGUUUUAAGAUUGAAGGAAAAGAAUGGCACCAAAAAAGCAGAAAGUUAAGAAAUCCAAGAAAUCCAAGCCGACAGCUGUGCAGGAUAAUGCUGAUCAGCUGGUUGAUGCAGGACAAGAAACACAACCUGAAAUUACACAAUCAGAAACUACUACUACAGAAACUAAAAAAAAACGAUAUGGAGGUGCUCGAGGUCCUUCGUCUAUGUAUAAAGUGGUGGUAAAAAAGGCUCAGGGCAAGAAGUUCAAAGUUAGAUGCAAUUAUAUUGGAGUUCCAGUGGGAAGAGUUAGGCACACUUUGCAGUCUUACAUAGGAAUGUUGGCGAGGACUAUGAUUCCGAUCGAUAUUAAAAGCUGGCCAUUUG
Long non-coding RNA from Daucus carota subsp. sativus, 881 nucleotides. RefSeq lists it as uncharacterized. The transcript is spliced from 3 exons. The record is from RefSeq and is a predicted model, not a curated record. Lineage: Eukaryota; Viridiplantae; Streptophyta; Magnoliopsida; Apiales; Apiaceae.